GGGCCCGUAGCUCAGCGGUAGAGCAGGCGUCUUAUACACGCUUGGUCGCAGGUUCGAUCCCUGCCGGGCCUACCA
RNAcentral lists this transfer RNA (75 nucleotides) under Patescibacteria group bacterium. RNAcentral's name for it is "tRNA-Ile". It matches the Rfam family "tRNA". From Rfam's summary of the family: Transfer RNA (tRNA) molecules are approximately 80 nucleotides in length. Their secondary structure includes four short double-helical elements and three loops (D, anti-codon, and T loops). The record is from RNAcentral.